Molecule: ribosomal RNA, 761 nt
Filed under: uncultured bacterium
Lineage: Bacteria
Description: bacterial SSU rRNA
Rfam family: Bacterial small subunit ribosomal RNA
Source: RNAcentral
AACAGGAUUAGAUACCCUGGUAGUCCACGCCGUAAACGAUGUCGACUCGGAGGCUGUUCCCUUGAGGAGUGGCUUCCGGAGCUAACGCGUUAAAUCGACCGCCUGGGGAGUACGGCCGCAAGGUUAAAACUCAAAUGAAUUGACGGGGGCCCGCACAAGCGGUGGAGCAUGUGGUUUAAUUCGAUGCAACGCGAAGAACCUUACCUACUCUUGACAUCCAGAGAACUUUCCAGAGAUGGAUUGGUGCCUUCGGGAACUCUGAGACAGGCGCUGCAUGGCUGUCGUCAGCUCGUGUUGUGAAAUGUUGGGUUAAGUCCCGCAACGAGCGCAACCCUUAUCCUUUGUUGCCAGCGGUUCGGCCGGGAACUCAAAGGAGACUGCCAGUGAUAAACUGGAGGAAGGUGGGGAUGACGUCAAGUCAUCAUGGCCCUUACGAGUAGGGCUACACACGUGCUACAAUGGCGUAUACAAAGAGAAGCGACCUCGCGAGAGCAAGCGGACCUCAUAAAGUACGUCGUAGUCCGGAUUGGAGUCUGCAACUCGACUCCAUGAAGUCGGAAUCGCUAGUAAUCGUAGAUCAGAAUGCUACGGUGAAUACGUUCCCGGGCCUUGUACACACCGCCCGUCACACCAUGGGAGUGGGUUGCAAAAGAAGUAGGUAGCUUAACCUUCGGGAGGGCGCUUACCACUUUGUGAUUCAUGACUGGGGUGAAGUCGUAACAAGGUAACCGUAGGGGAACCUGCGGCUGGAUCACCUCCUU